RNAcentral lists this transfer RNA (74 nucleotides) under Lachnospiraceae bacterium. RNAcentral's name for it is "tRNA-Ile". It matches the Rfam family "tRNA". Rfam says of the family: Transfer RNA (tRNA) molecules are approximately 80 nucleotides in length. Their secondary structure includes four short double-helical elements and three loops (D, anti-codon, and T loops). The record is from RNAcentral. Lineage: Bacteria; Bacillati; Bacillota; Clostridia; Lachnospirales; Lachnospiraceae.
GGACCUCUAACUCAGCAGGUUAGAGUAGCCGGCUCAUAACCGGCCUGUCCUGGGUUCGAGUCCCAGGAGGUCCA